CAAGCGGUGGAGCAUGUGGUUUAACUCGAUGCAACGCGAAGAACCUUACCUACUCUUGACAUCCACGGAAUUCGGCAGAGAUGCCUUAGUGCCUUCGGGAACCGUGAGACAGGUGCUGCAUGGCUGUCGUCAGCUCGUGUUGUGAAAUGUUGGGUUAAGUCCCGCAACGAGCGCAACCCUUAUCCUUUGUUGCCAGCGAUACGGUCGGGGACUCAAAGGAGACUGCCGGUGAUAAACCGGAGGAAGGUGGGGAUGACGUCAAGUCAUCAUGGCCCUUACGAGUAGGGCUACACACGUGCUACAAUGGCGCAUACAAAGAGAAGCGACCUCGCGAGAGCAAGCGGACCUCAGAAAGUGCGUCGUAGUCCGGAUCGGGGUCUGCAACUCGACUCCGUGAAGUCGGAAUCGCUAGUAAUCGUGGAUCAGAAUGCCACGGUGAAUACGUUCCCGGGCCUUGUACACACC
Molecule: ribosomal RNA, 465 nt
Filed under: uncultured bacterium
Lineage: Bacteria
Description: bacterial SSU rRNA
Rfam family: Bacterial small subunit ribosomal RNA
Source: RNAcentral